RNAcentral lists this transfer RNA (62 nucleotides) under Fasciola sp. GHL-2014. Its description in RNAcentral is "tRNA-Ile". The record is from RNAcentral. Lineage: Eukaryota; Metazoa; Platyhelminthes; Trematoda; Plagiorchiida; Fasciolidae.
CCGGUAGGGCUGCGGUAGCAGGUUACUGUGAUAUAGUAAUGGUGGGAUUUUUCUUCGUCGGU